UAGCCGACCUGAGAGGGUGAUCGGCCACACUGGGACUGAGACACGGCCCAGACUCCUACGGGAGGCAGCAGUGGGGAAUAUUUGCACAAUGGGCGCAAGCCCUGAUGCAGCGACGCCGCGUGAGGGAUGAAGGCCUUUCGGGUUGUAAACCUCUUUCAGCAGGGAAGAAGCGAAAGUGACGGUACCUGCAGAAGAAGCGCCGGCUAACUACGUGCCAGCAGCCGCGGUAAUACGUAGGGCGCAAGCGUUGUCCGGAAUUAUUGGGCGUAAAGAGCUCGUAGGCGGUUUGUCGCGUCUGCUGUGAAAACCUGAGGCUCAACCUCGGGCUUGCAGUGGGUACGGGCAGACUAGAGUGCGGUAGGGGUGACUGGAAUUCCUGGUGUAGCGGUGGAAUGCGCAGAUAUCAGGAGGAACACCGAUGGCGAAGGCAGGUCACUGGGCCGCAACUGACGCUGAGGAGCGAAAGCAUGGGGAGCGAACAGGAUUAGAUACCCUGGUAGUCCAUGCCGUAAACGUUGGGCACUAGGUGUGGGGCUCAUUCCACGAGUUCCGUGCCGCAGCAAACGCAUUAAGUGCCCCGCCUGGGGAGUACGGCCGCAAGGCUAAAACUCAAAGAAAUUGACGGGGGCCCGCACAAGCGGCGGAGCAUGCGGAUUAAUUCGAUGCAACGCGAAGAACCUUACCAAGGCUUGACAUACACCGGAAAAGUGCAGAGAUGUGCUCCCCGCAAGGUCGGUGUACAGGUGGUGCAUGGUUGUCGUCAGCUCGUGUCGUGAGAUGUUGGGUUAAGUCCCGCAACGAGCGCAACCCUCGUCCUAUGUUGCCAGCACGUCAUGGUGGGGACUCAUAGGAGACUGCCGGGGUCAACUCGGAGGAAGGUGGGGAUGACGUCAAAUCAUCAUGCCCCUUAUGUCUUGGGCUUCACGCAUGCUACAAUGGCCGGUACAAAGGGCUGCGAUACCGCGAGGUGGAGCGAAUCCCAAAAAGCCGGUCUCAGUUCGUAGUGGGGUAUCCAACUCGACCCCACAAGUUGGAGUCUUCUAGUAA
RNAcentral lists this ribosomal RNA (1047 nucleotides) under Cellulomonas sp. UAPS01006. Its description in RNAcentral is "bacterial SSU rRNA". It matches the Rfam family "Bacterial small subunit ribosomal RNA", at positions 284 to 1341 of the family's 1533-position model. Lineage: Bacteria; Bacillati; Actinomycetota; Actinomycetes; Micrococcales; Cellulomonadaceae. The record is from RNAcentral.